GCGUUACUCGGAAUCACUGGGCGUAAAGGGCGCGUAGGCGGAUUAUCAAGUCUCUUGUGAAAUCUAAUGGCUUAACCAUUAAACUGCUUGGGAAACUGAUAGUCUAGAGUGAGGGAGAGGCAGAUGGAAUUGGUGGUGUAGGGGGUAAAAUCCGUAGAUAUCACCAAGAAUACCCAUUGCGAAGGCGAUCUGCUGGAACUCAACUGACGCUAAGGCGCGAAAGCGUGGGGAGCAAACAGGAUUAGAUACCCUGGUAGUCCACGCCCUAAACGAUGUACACUAGUUGUUGGGAUGCUAGUCAUCUCAGUAAUGCAGCUAACGCAUUAAGUGUACCGCCUGGGGAGUACGGUCGCAAGAUUAAAACUCAAAGGAAUAGACGGGGACCCGCACAAGCGGUGGAGCAUGUGGUUUAAUUCGAAGAUACGCGAAGAACCUUACCUGGGCUUGAUAUCCUAAGAACCUUUUAGAGAUAAGAGGGUGCUAGCUUGCUAGAACUUAGAGACAGGUGCUGCACGGCUGUCGUCAGCUCGUGUCGUGAGAUGUUGGGUUAAGUCCCGCAACGAGCGCAACCCACGUAUUUAGUUGCUAACGGUUCGGCCGAGCACUCUAAAUAGACUGCCUUCGUAAGGAGGAGGAAGGUGUGGACGACGUCAAGUCAUCAUGGCCCUUAUGCCCAGGGCGACACACGUGCUACAAUGGCAUAUACAAUGAGACGCAAUACCGCGAGGUGGAGCAAAAUCUAUAAAAUAUGUCCCCAGUUCGGAUUGUUCUUCUGCAACUUCGGAG
This 786-nucleotide ribosomal RNA is filed under the name uncultured Salmonella sp. RNAcentral's name for it is "bacterial SSU rRNA". It matches the Rfam family "Bacterial small subunit ribosomal RNA", at positions 538 to 1317 of the family's 1533-position model. Lineage: Bacteria; Pseudomonadati; Pseudomonadota; Gammaproteobacteria; Enterobacterales; Enterobacteriaceae. The record is from RNAcentral.